UACGUAGGGUGCGAGCGUUAAUCGGAAUUACUGGGCGUAAAGCGUGCGCAGGCGGGCUUUUAAGCCAGACGUGAAAUCCCCGGGCUCAACCUGGGAACUGCAUUUGUGACUGUAGAGCUGGAGUGCGGCAGAGGGGGAUGGAAUUCCGCGUGUAGCAGUGAAAUGCGUAGAUAUGCGGAGGAACACCGAUGGCGAAGGCAAUCCCCUGGGCCUGCACUGACGCUCAUGCACGAAAGCGUGGGGAGCAAACAGG
Molecule: ribosomal RNA, 253 nt
Filed under: uncultured bacterium
Lineage: Bacteria
Description: partial 16S ribosomal RNA
Rfam family: Bacterial small subunit ribosomal RNA
Source: RNAcentral